GACGAACGCUGGCGGCGUGCUUAACACAUGCAAGUCGAACGGAAAGGCCCUGCUUUUGUGGGGUGCUCGAGUGGCGAACGGGUGAGUAACACGUGAGUAACCUGCCCUUGACUUUGGGAUAACUUCAGGAAACUGGGGCUAAUACCGGAUAGGAGCUCCUGCUGCAUGGUGGGGGUUGGAAAGUUUCGGCGGUUGGGGAUGGACUCGCGGCUUAUCAGCUUGUUGGUGGGGUAGUGGCUUACCAAGGCUUUGACGGGUAGCCGGCCUGAGAGGGUGACCGGCCACAUUGGGACUGAGAUACGGCACAGACUCCUACGGGAGGCAGCAGUGGGGAAUAUUGCACAAUGGGCGGAAGCCUGAUGCAGCAACGCCGCGUGCGGGAUGACGGCCUUCGGGUUGUAAACCACUUUCGCCUGUGACGAAGCGUGAGUGACGGUAAUGGGUAAAGAAGCACCGGCUAACUACGUG
RNAcentral lists this ribosomal RNA (468 nucleotides) under uncultured bacterium. RNAcentral describes it as "partial 16S ribosomal RNA". It matches the Rfam family "Bacterial small subunit ribosomal RNA", at positions 28 to 507 of the family's 1533-position model. The record is from RNAcentral.